AUGACCAAGGGCGUUGGUCCGUCGAUCGGCAUCGACCUCGGGAUGACCUACUCCUGCGUUGGCGUGUGGCAGCAUGUCGACAUCAUGGGCAACGACCAGGCCACCAUGGCAACUGCACCACGCCCUCCUACGUCUCCACCACCAGCGACGCCGCCAGGAACCAGGUUCGCCACAAUUGAGUAUUGGAGAUCGUGUGUGAUUGAAAUAUCAUUGGCAUUGAUCUUGGCGAGGACAACACAUGGCUUGCUGGCCUUAAACAUAUAUUGUAUUGAGAUUUCUGUAAUGUCUCAUCUGACGUUUUCUGUAAUUUUGACAUAG
This 318-nucleotide ribosomal RNA is filed under the name Triticum aestivum (bread wheat). RNAcentral's name for it is "partial small subunit ribosomal RNA". Lineage: Eukaryota; Viridiplantae; Streptophyta; Magnoliopsida; Poales; Poaceae. The record is from RNAcentral.